CCUGCCUCUGCAGAUCAGGAUGCAGUCUACACCCCAUGACUGGCUUCCAAUCCAAGGCACCAUGAACAGGAAUCAUUAGAGCCCCUUAAGCUCAGAAAGCAGCUGCAAGCAGCUCCUCUUUGUGCCCCCUCAUGAGGGAGAAGCAGGAGGGCCAAGAAUGUACUGUUACAGACCAGACUUCCUGCCUCAGGUGCCCUCUGACCUUCAGUAAUUGCAGCUUCGGAAGUGGUUGGCUCCCCAUCUAGAAAAUGGAGAUAAUGAGCCUCAACUUCUUGGGGCUAUUGAAGAUUUAAUUGAUUCAUGGUGGUGAAGCAGUUGGCAAUCCUCACCCGGAAUUCCGUGGAGGCUGCUCUGGCAACAAGGCCAUUGGACUUAGAACAUAGGACUGAAAGAGGCUGUAGGACGUGAAGACAGUGGAAAGGCUUCUGAUGGAAGGACAUGGCAAACAAG
Talpa occidentalis (Iberian mole) is the source of this 450-nucleotide long non-coding RNA. RefSeq lists it as uncharacterized. The transcript is spliced from 3 exons. The record is from RefSeq and is a predicted model, not a curated record. Lineage: Eukaryota; Metazoa; Chordata; Mammalia; Eulipotyphla; Talpidae.